This 953-nucleotide unclassified non-coding RNA is filed under the name Hevea brasiliensis (rubber tree). The record is from RNAcentral. Lineage: Eukaryota; Viridiplantae; Streptophyta; Magnoliopsida; Malpighiales; Euphorbiaceae.
UUUUUUUUUUUUUUUGAAAACAUAUUCUCUUGUUUUAUUGUCAUGUGUCGUUAAUUGAUCCUAUGUUGUCCUGUCUCUCACACCAAAUGUAGCCUAUUCUACAUUGUUUGUGAACAUUGAAAAAUGUAAUGCAAUUUGUGCAAGGUUUCUUAAAUGUUUUGGACCUUUUCACAAGUUUCAUGAGCUAGGUUGACUUGGACAUUGGAUGAGACAUUGGACAAGAAAAUGGGUUAAGUCUAUUAGAAAGAUGUUUAUGCAUUGAGAUGUCAUAACUGAGAAAAAGAAAAAGAGAGAAAAAGAAAAUGAGAAUGCUAAAAGAACAUUAUUUUCUUAUUUGUAAAUACCGUGCCGGAGACUAGAGACUGGGGAGUAUGUGAGCAGAAUAUAAUUUCGUUAAUCUGUGAUGAAAUUGUGUUGUUUGUUCUUUUAUCUUUCCAUUUGUUUUAUUACUGUUGGACUGGGUAUAGAAUUAUGUCCCGAUGACUGGAGAAAUUAUAUCCUACGAUCCAUGUAGGCUGUUGAUAUGAAAUGGCAAGCGAAUAAACGAUAGAUAUAUAGACCAUUUCAGUUAUUAAUUAGUUUGGAAAAAAAAAAGGGGCUUGGUAGUCAUAUUUUUAUGCAACCUACUUAUACUUAUAUGUCUAUUUAUUAUUGGCUUGCCAUUGUAGGCUAUCGUACAUGGAAUCAUGGUGAUAGCCAAUAAUUUCUCCAAUGGCUGGGCCAAAAACUAGUUUGCUCCUCUUUCAUCUCCACUCCCUCCCUCAAACGAAAAGAAAAGGGUGAAUUUUUUCUAAACUAAAUAUGACCAAAUUGCUACUUUAUAAUUACUUUUCAAACAUUUUUAUCUGUUUGUUUCUUCCACAAAUGCAUCAUACUUGCUUUUUUUGUUAUUGGUUGAGAUCUUAUUUAAAUAUGUUUCCUUCUUUUAGUGUAUGGGAACUUGCCAUCUGAAA